Molecule: long non-coding RNA, 39191 nt
Filed under: Prunus persica (peach)
Lineage: Eukaryota; Viridiplantae; Streptophyta; Magnoliopsida; Rosales; Rosaceae
Description: long non-coding RNA (PPER_LNC002427)
Source: RNAcentral
AGGGUUUUGAGGAUGUUGGAGAAGUUGUUGCUGGACAUAUCAAAGGCCCUUUUGAGAGUGGACAUGAGAUGGGGAGGGAGGCCAUUGGUGGUAUGGUAGUGAGGUGGGAGUUCAGGCAAGUCAUCAUGUGGAAGAUGGAGUUCCACAAAUUCAAUGCAAUGAGAAUAUUUUUGGGAGAGUUUAGGCUUGAUGGAGCUGAGAUUUACAGGCGUGGAACAAAUAAAGAUGUGAAAAUUUCUCUUGGUGGUCAGCUUCUUGGCUAGCUCUAGGUAGGGAGAUAUAUGGCCGUGAGCUAGCCAUGGAAGCAUAAGAAUAGUAAGUUUUCUUUGGUCAGAGUAAACCAUAUUUUGUUUUCCUUUCACUCUUUUGCUUGAGGUUGCUCGAUUAUAGGCUUAUUGGUAGUUUUUUUGUAGCUAGCUCUAUGCAUAUAUAUAUAUAUAUACACACACAUUCAUGGGAAAAGAGGCUUGGGGAUGGGAAAUCAAUUGAUUUCCUAUGUUUGGUAAAGUUCGGGUAUGAGAAAUCGUUGCUUUGCACAUGAGAAAGUAGAGGGGAAAGUGAAGCCCUCCUCCUUCCUUAGGUUUUGUUUUCCUCCUCAUGGGAAAGUUUGGGAAAAUGAGCUAAUAUUAAAUACAUAUUUUUCAUGACCAUAUUAUCCCCAUUAAUAAUUUAGAAUUACAUAAAUGCAUUCUAUUUUUAUUUGAUUUCAUAUGGGUAUAAUUGAAAAAUUAAACAAAUUUUGUUUUACAUUCCUACACAAACCAAACAUGUGAAAGGAAAUAAAGUGGUAUUUCUUGGUUACUUUCCCAAGAUUACCAAACAUAGGAAAGGAAUCUCUAUUUCCCAUCCCUUAGAAAAUGACUUGGAAAGUAAUUUCUCCUCAAAUUCGUUCCGUGAACCAAACGGAACCUGCAUAAUAGAAGUUCCAAAAAAACACGUGAUGAUUGGAUCAUGCAUAUGUAAGUUCCCGAGUGAUGAUUGGAACAAGUUCCUAAUGAUAAAGACUCGAAACAAGAAUAGUUUAAACUUUCUUCUUUGUUUGGCUUGAUAUAAGACGAAUGCACCAAACAAACCGACUAAUUGCUGGCACAAUAUAAAUUGGGGCUACAAUUACCUAAUAAUUAGGUACUAAGGGCUACAAUUACCUAAUAAUAUCAACUUUCAUUAUACAGAUUUGAGAAACAAAAAGUUCAACUUUGAUGACAAGCGAUAUUAAAGGAGGGCGUAAUCAAACUUAGGAUCUUGAGUGUAGAAAUAAAUACUUUUAACAACUUGAGCUACAAGCCUUUUGUAAUAUUAAUGAUAUUUUAAUUAUACGUUUGAAUAGUUCGCUUCCUUCUCUUUUAUUUUCAUUUGUUUAUAUUUAACUCUAAUUUUAUUUAUAUUUUUGGUCAAGGUAAAAAGACUUUGAAUCUCUCUCCAAUGAUUUUCACAGCCGAAACUCCUUUAGUUUCCACAAAUAUUUUUUAAUAUUUCAUGCAUUUGUAAGUUUCCGACUCGGAUGGUUCAUGUAACCAAGAAGUUUAAACUUGUUUUUGCUUGUUCCGCCGACGAAAGCGCAACAAAAGGACAAACUACAACCAAUACUUCUAGUAUCACCAGUUCUCAUUGAAUUUGUUGCCGUGAAUGUUUAGGAUUCUGCCCAAACUAGUAUUUGCGUUUCUGAAUUGUUUGAAAACACAUAUGAAAUUAUGAUUUCUCCUCCCCAGAAGACAAAUUGACGAAGAAGUAUCAUGAUUUUGAUGACACAAAUUAGAAUCCAGGGUUUUCGAAGUGCCUAAUGGACAACUAUUAAUUUAGAAAUAUAUAUAUUUUUUUCGCAAUGCAGAAACACAUAAAUCCCAAGUUUGAAUUCAUCCUAUUUUUGUUUUUGUUUUUUCCUUUUUUAACCCAGAAGAAAAAUUGAGUGCCACUCUGCUAUGUAGAAUGCAAGUUUUAGUUUAGAUUUUUUUUUCUUUUUAGUCUCUUAUUCUACAUUUAGAUCUCAUAUAUUUACUCGCAUUUUAUUAAAUCUAAGUCAUUCAAACAAUCUGACCACUUAACAAAUUACAAGUACUCAAACUUAAAAUCAGAUUGGAUGGACAUGAGGCUUACACUGAUGAUUCUACACGUGCUGAGAAUAGUCCUUUUAUUUCUUUAUUAUUUUCUUGGUCGGGACUCGAGAGACAGGUGUAGUGUAGCGAUGGAGACGAGGCCCGCAAGACAUAAAAGUCUGAAGAAGAGAAGCGUGAAAGCUUCAUUUAGACAGUUAAGUGCAUACGUAACGUAAAGAUUCAAAGACUAUGUCCCUCUCCAAACAGGGAAAGAUCUGAGUUGAAAGCAACAAACUACAGUCACAAUAGGAAAGCAUCUACAACGUAAAGAAAAUAAGUUUACCAGAAGCAUCGGAAAGAUCUAGAGUCUGAAGAAGAGAUACUGAAGUAAUUGUUCAUCGACUGAGCUUAAAUGAAAUAUUAACUCUUUGUUGUGCCAUAAGCACAAGAUCUUAAGAAAAAAAUUCAAGAUAAACCAUAUAAUAUUUUCUAACCCACAAAAUAAUAUAGAAAAUAAAUGCAAGAACAAGAGAAUAGCAAGACACAACGAGGCUGCUUACAAUCAGUGUAAAUGAGCAAACAAAUUCACCAUCAACAAAUUAGCAUGCUUAUGAAGUGUUUUGCAACCUCACAAACCAAGGCGCCAUAUACACCAAAUGACUCUCACUGAAAAACUAAACAAAGAAACACACUCACACUAAUGAAAGCAACGUUACAAGGUAGGAGAUUGAAUAUUACAUUUACAAUACACUCAUAAGUUACAAAAACUAAUUACAAAUAUUUAGCGCAUAGGUUACAUAGAACUGAAAGGGUGGAAUGAUAAGAGCUAUGGUGGUCAUCCACCAACUCAUGCAUUUACAACACCGCCUCUUGAAUGUCCACCAUACAAUACAAUGAUAUAGUUGCGUCAUUAAACACUUUGCUUGAAAAACUAUAUGGGACAAAACUUAGGCUACGGGAAAAAGAGUGCAACACAAAUAAUAUUGAUAUCACAUUUGUCUCUCCUACGGAAUGAGCUUUGGUGAUGUUUGUAUAAAAAUUGCGUACAAACCAUUAUUGGAAGAUUGGGCUAGAGUGGGCUUUACCCUAGUGUUGACUUUGGAAAGAGACAAAUUAGGCUUAGUUGUGUAAAUUCAAUCCAAAAAAAAAUUAAAUAAUAGCCCACAUCUACAGCCAAAUACUUUAAUACUUUAAUUACUAAAGUUUUUUUUUCUUUCUCUCUCUUCUUUGGUUUAUUCAGCUUUUGAUUUGGCUCAAAUAAUGUUUAUAUCUCUCUUUGAUUUUGUUUUUUCAAAUUUAUUGAUGUUGCUUCUUUUGAAAAUUUUGAAAUAUGGACCCUCCCUAACUAAACCACUCCAUUGAGCAAAAGCCCUUGAGCUUCAAAUUUAUCUUCGUCUGAGCCUCUGAAUUUUGGUUUUUUUUAGGUUUUUUUUGUUUGUUGUAGGUUUCUUUGUUCACAUAUCUCUCUAAAAAUAGUAUUUUUCUUAAUGAAUUCUGAAAAUAGUUUUUAAUUUGAAGGAAAUAUACGGAAUUAGUAAAAAAGUAUACCACUUUCAUUAAUCUGAAGGAAAUAUUGCUUUAUAUAUAUUUGUUUAAAAAUAGGGCUUAUAAUUGAUCUCAAAAAAAAAAAAAAAACAAAUAGCCCACCCCUGUAAAUAUUCCUUAGUCCGCCAUUGCAUGGCAUAAUAUUUGGUAUGCUAUGCUAGCAUCUCAUAAGCUCUUCAAGAGACCUGAAUUUUAUGAUAACUUCUUAAAAAAUUUGAAUACAUUUCAACGAUAUUAAACUUGAAUUUGAACUCAUAAUUCAAUCAAAGUACUCAUUGAGGCAAUUUAGAUCAUUUUCAUUUUAAAAAAAUUGGGUGCACACAUUGAGCUUCAUGCUCUUUACCUUCUUAGAGAUUUUAUUUGAGGAAUUUAUAUUGCAUCACAUAUUACAUCUCUUAGGAUUUGUUCUUAUUAUGUAUUCUUUAAGAGAUCUAUUCUUGCAAUAUGCUUCAAACACUUCAUAAUCUUUAUGAAUUUUUCAUGUAGAUUUAAGGUCUCCAUGAAUAUUGAGAUUGAAACAAGGAGUAAAAGAGUUAAAAGUUUAAGAAAUUUUUUCCCUGAUUAUUUUGUAAUUAUAAUGUUGGUGAAAAUCCAAUUUCCUUUCUAGAAUUUGUGAAAUUUGUUAUUUGGCUAAGCUAAAAGUAUAAUUUUGACAAUAAAAAGCAUAUGAAAGUUUCUCUUUGGUUGGCUUCUUGGCUAGCUCUAGGAACGGACAGUGUGGCCAUGAGAUAACCAUGGAAGUAUAAUAAGAAUGCUUGGAUGCUGUGAACAAUCCAUUUUCUGACUCUUUUUCUUGAGGUGGUUGUUUUCUUAUGGCCCAUCAGAGUUUAUGGUCGACAGAUAAGCUUCAAACACAUGCAUUGGUCGUGUCAGUUGCGAUAAACUCUUCCCAACAAUCAACAAUUUCUAAGGUAAUAUCAUCAUUCAAUCAUGUGCUGAAUUUAGAAUUGUUUUCAAAUCAAGGAUUUGUUUUGGAACUCAGAUUUUAAAACAAUUAAAAUUUAAUUGGGAAGACUUUUUGUUUAAAGGAAGUUCGUUUCAAUUCAAAAAAUAAUUUUUCAGUUUUUCAACUCAAAAGUCUUCUCAGUUUUCUUAUUUUUCUUAUUGGCGAGUUUCUUGGUUAACUCUAGGAAGGGAGAUAUGUGGCCAUGAGCUAACCAUGGAAGCAUAAGAACGCUGACCAUGCUUGGAUUUUGAGAAGACUUCCUCUUUUUUUUUUCCCUGACUCUUCUUCUUGAGGCGGUGGUUGGCUUAUGGCCUCAUAAUAGUUUGGUGUUUUUGGAGAUCAUAUGGUGAUGAUCUGAUGGAGAUGAGUCAUAGUUUGUGCUAGUGCAUACGUAAUUCCAAUUUCCUGAUUCAGAUGGGAUAAACUCUUCCAACAAAUUAAGACUCUUAUCAUGCAUACACAUAAGAAGUGGAAAUUUGCUUCUGUCUUAGUUUGGCCUUGAUAUAGGACAGCUCAUAGGAAAGCAUCCAAAACAAUAUUCUUUUUAUUUUUUUUAUUUGAAUACAAGCGAUAUUAGGAGUGUGGGGAUUUGAACACAUGAUUUAGGGUACAGGGUAAUGCUCUUAACUAUAUGAGUUACAAGUCCCUUGCAAACAGUCUGAAAUACUAAAAAUAAAAAAUAGAUGCUCAUCCAUAUGCACUGUCAUGCCCCAACCCUUGGAUUUACAAAACCUUGUGUUAAGACGUGAUUCACACCUUAAUUAUAGAAUUUAAUAAAAACUAUAACUAAAAUGUGAAGAAAACAUUUAAAUAAAUAAAAUAAAUAUUUCACAUAGAAUAUUCAGUGGAAAUGACAACAUGUGAAAUCUUAAAAAUUUUACAUUAUCUUACAAGUUGGCGUGACUUGUGGAUAUUGACUUACUUUCCUUACACACCAAGAAUUCCUAUUAUAAUUGUAAUUGAUUUACUUUAAUUCAUGAUUUCCUACUGUAAAUAGAUUUAAGAAUUUAUUAUUUACUUGCCCAUUCAGGUUUCGUUGUAUUAUAAAUAUGACCUCCUACAAGGAGAAGAACAUACAGAAAAUUCCCACAAACAAAUAUUCUCUCAUAGUUUUCAUAUUUUAGCAUGGUAUCAGAGCGGCAAUCUUGGAAUUGCUGACUCUAGUUUCAAACCCCCGCCGCCGCUAUGGGGGUUGAUGAUUUUUUCAACCAUCAUGGAGGUAGCACCAUCGACUCCUUCUCUCAUUCUCAACUAACCAUCGUUGAGUUGAGUGCCCAGAUGGCUCCGCUCCUACAGAUGCAGACUUUGACCCCAAACCCGAUCCAGAAUCAGGAUCUUCUUUCGACAACCACGACCCCGAUCUCGACUAUGACAACGACGACCCCGACCCCUACUCUGAAGAUGACCCCGACCCCCACUCCGAUGACCCCAACCCCGAAUUUGUCUCUGAUUCAGAACCCGAUCCCGAUUUCGACUCCGACUCCGGCCUCGACUCAGGCUCAGAUUUCGAUCCAAAUUCCUACUCAACUUAUAUCCUAUGCAUCUUCCGCUGCACAGAUUAUGACUUCUAGACUAACGACCCCGACAUAUGGACCAGAUUGCACAUAUUGUGGUGAUCCGAGACACACUUGUGAGACUUGUUUUAAAUCGCAUGGCUACCCCGAUUGGUGGGCUAUUCUUACAGAUCAAGGACAAUGCACCAGUAAUGGUACUGGUUAUGGAUUCCAUACUUCCGAUAAGAUUGAUUCCAGGAGCUGGAUAAUUGAUUCUGGUGCAACUGAUCAUAUGACGUUUGAUCCUGAUGAUUUUCUGAAUACUACACAACCUCGACGAACUUGUAUUGCAAAUGCCAAUGGUGUUACUUAUCCUGUGACAGGGGCUGGCACUGUUGCACUCUCAUCCUCUCUCACACUGUCUAAUACUUUACUUGUUCCAUUUUUAUCCACUAAAUUGUUGUUAGUUAGUCAGCUUACUAAACAAUUGAAGUGUUGUGUACUCAUUUACCUGAGUUUUUGUUUGCUUCAGGAUAUUCACACUAAGGAGAUUCUUGGUCGUGGUACUAAGAGAGGGGGGCUAUAUUAUGUCGAUGACUUCAGUUCCGGCGUGCCUAACAGUGUGACACAUCCCUUUGAUAGCAAACAAAAGCAAAUUUGGUUGUGGCACCUUCGAUUGGGACAUCCGUCUUUCAGUUAUAUGAAGCAUCUUAUACCAGAUUUAUUCUUAGGUUUCAAGGACUCCGACUUCACAUGUGAUACUUGUAUUUUGGCUAACAGUCACCGUGUGCCCUACCUGUUGAGUACGAACAAGUGUACUUGUAAGAUCCCACAUCAACCAACGGAGAGGGGGUGAUGUGCCUUAUAUAUGCACACCUGCAUCCAUCUAGCACGAGGCCUUUUGGGAGCUCACUGGCUUCGGAGUCGUAGGAACUCCGAAGUUAAGCGAGUUGGGGGCUAGAGCAAUCCCAGGAUGGGUGAUCCACUGGGAAGUUGCUCGUGAGCUCCUAGAAACAAAACCGUGAGGGCAGAGAGAGGGGCCCAAAGCGGACAAUAUCGUGCUACGGCGGAGUUGAUCCCGAGAUGUGACAAUUUGGUAUCAGAGCCACUCUGCCGUGUGGUGCGAAUGUGCCGACGAGGACUUCGGGCCCUUAAGGGGGGUGGAUUGUAAGAUCCCACAUCAACCAACGGAGAGGGGGUGAUGUGCCUUAUAUAUGCACACCUGCAUCCAUCUAGCAUGAGACCUUUUGGGAGCUCACUGGCUUCGGAGUUGUAGGAACUCCGACGUUAAGCGAGUUGGGGGCUAGAGCAAUCCCAGGAUGGGUGACCCACUGGGAAGUUGCUCGUGAGUUCCCAGAAACAAAACCGUGAGGGCCAGAGAGGGGGGCCCAAAGCUGAUAAUAUCGUGCUACGGCGGAGCCGAUCCCGGGAUGUGACAAUUGUACUACUCCAUUUACGUUAAUUCACUCUGAUGUCUUGGGACCUUCGCCUAUCACUGCUCCUUCUGGUGUUCGAUGGUUUGUCACAUUCAUCGAUGAUUGUAUACAGAUGACAUGGCUUUAUUUGCUGAAGAAUAAAAACGAAGUGUUUUCCCGUUUUCAGUCCUUCCACAAACAGAUGAAAACUCAGUUUAAUGCUCAAAUCCAGAUUCUUCGCUCAGACAAUGGUGGAGAAUUUGUCAAUCAUGACUUUCAGACUUACUUCCAACAACAUGGAAUUAUCCAUGAGACGACUUGUCCUCAGACACCACAACAAAAUUGUGUUGUUGAACGAAAGAAUUGACAUCUUCUUGAAACCGCCCAAGCACUUCUGAUUGGCGCUCAUGUUCCUCGCUAUCACUGGGAUGAUGCUAUUGUCACCGCAGUUCACCUGAUCAACCGCAUGCCUUCUGGUGUAUUGACCUUUAAAACUCCCUUACAGGUGCUUGCGCAACACAGACCUCUGCUCUCUGUUUUGGUACUCACACCCCGAAUCUUUGGAUGUGUGGCUUUCGUUCAUCUCCACAAAAAUCAACGUAGCAAACUUGAUCCCUGUGCGCUUCGUUGUGUUUUUAUAGGUUAUGCCACUCAUCAGAAAGGCUACCGUUGUUAUCACCCUCCUACCCAACGAACCUAUGUCACUUUGGAUGUGACCUUUCUGGAAUCUGAGUUGUUCUUCCAUGACCCAUCAUCCAAUUCUACGCAUCAGGGGGGGAUACGAAGUGAAGAGCAGAAUUGAAGCAACUUGGGAAAUAAAGAAAUUUUCCUCUGUACAGAAAUGAUUAAUCAUCCUGAGUCUGGAGCACGAGAUUACUCUCUGUCGAAAAGCAACCAAUCGCCCAUUCAUAGCGAUCAAUUGCCUCACCUACCUGAUCCAUGUGAAGAUAUUUUUGAUCCGAGUCUCACACCUACAGACAAUACAGAACAACAAGAUGAAGACUCCCCCUCUAACUCAACAGUACCAACAGACCAAUCUCCUGAGAAUAUCCUUGAGGUAACUACUCCUACUAGAUUUGUGCAUUUAAAUGAUUAAACUAUUGGAUAUCAAUUACCUUUCAGGGAAAAUCGUGGGAAGCCAUCAAACCGUUAUGCACCUGAUAUUGGCAAGACAUCCAAGUAUCCAAUUGCAAAUCAUGUAUCCACUGAGAAGCUGUCUGAACAACUCAAGGCUUUUGUGCAUCAGUUGUCUGCGAUCCAUAUUCCAACCAAGGUCUCUGAAGCAUUAAAAUAUCCUAAGUGGGUCCAAGCUAUAAAAGAGGAGAUGAAAGCUCUUGAGAAAAAUCAGACUUGGACAUUAGAGACUAUACCUCGAGGAAAAAAGACUAUCAGAUGUAGAUGGGUGUUUACUAUAAAACACAAUGUAGAUGGAUCUAUCGAGCAAUACAAGGCAAGACUUGUGGAAAAAGGGUACACACAGACAUAUGGUAUAGACUAUGAAGAAACCUUUGCUCCAGUUGCAAAGUCAAACACCAUCAGAGUCUUAUUGUCCCUUGCAGCUAAUUUGGAUUGGCCACUACACCAGUUUGAUGUAAAGAAUGCUUUUCUACAUGGCGUACUCACGGAGGAGGUGUACAUUUACAUUCCUCCUGGAUAUAAUACUACUUAGACUGGAACAGUUUGCAGGUUACGAAAAGCAUUGUAUGGAUUGAAACAGUCACCACGUGCAUGGUUUGGACAGUUCACCAUGGCAAUGAAGAACAAUGGUUCAAACAGUGCAACUCAGAUCAUACUCUACUCUUGAAACAUCGAAAAGGGAAGGUAACAACAUUAAUAAUCUAUGUUGAUGAUAUGAUUAUUACUGGGAAUGAUAAACAGGAAAUAUCACAGCUACAAGACUAUCUGGCUACGGAGUUUGAGAUGAUGGAUCUAGGUGGACUCAAGUAUUUCUUGGGAAUUGAGGUGGCUCGAUCCCAGCAAGGCAUAUUUCUCUCUCAAAGGAAAUAUGUCUUGGACUUGUUGACAGACACAUGAAUGCUAGAUUGUAAACCUGCGAACACUCAUAUUGUUCAGAAUCAUCAUCUUGGAGAAUAUCAUGAUCAAGUUCCAACUAACAAAGAAAGAUACCAAAGGUUAGUAGGAAGAUUGAUCUAUUUGUCACAUACUUGACCAAACAUUACUUAUGCAAUGAGCGUUGUCAGUCAAUUUAUGCACUCUCCAAGUGAAGACCACACGAAUGCAGUUCUUCGGAUACUUAGAUAUUUGAAGUCUGCACCUGAAAAAGGACUUAUUUUCUGAAAGCAUGGUCAUAUAAAUAUUGAUGGUUAUUCAGAUGUAAUGUAACAGAUAGAAAAUCCACAUCCGGUUACUUAACAUUCAUGGGAGGUAAUUUGGUGACAUGGAGGAGCAAGAAACAGAAUGUAGUAGCUUUAUCCAGUGCAGAAGCCGAGUUCAGAGGCAUGACUAAAGGAAUUUGUGAACUUCUUUGGUUAAGAAAGUUGCUUACUGAACUUGGGUAUAAACCUACAUCCACAAUGAUUCUCUUUUGUGACAACAAGGCUGUUAUAGCCAUUGCACAGAAUCCGGUUCAGCAUGAUCGUACUAAACAUGUUGAGGAGGAUCGACACUUCAUCAAACAGAAGCUUGAGGCUAAAAUGUUUCAGUUUUCUUUUGUGAAAUCCGAGGAUCAAUUGGCGGAUAUUUUGACAAAGGUGAUUUCCAGUAAAACAUUCCACAAUUCACUGGAUCAGUUAGGCAUUGGCGAUAUCUAUGCACCAACGUGAGGGGAAGUGUUGGCGUGACUUGUGGAUAUUGACUUACUUUCCUUACACACCAAGAAUUCCUAUUAUAAUUGUAAUUGAUUUACUUUAAUUCCUGAUUUCCUAUUGUAAAUAGAUUUAGGAAUUUAUUAUUUACUUGCCCAUUCAGGUUUCGUUGUAUUAUAAAUAUGACCUCCUACAAGGAGAAUAACAUACAGAAAAUUCCCACAAACAAAUAUUCUCUUAUAGUUUUCAUAUUUUAGCAAGAACUACUCGAGAGUUUACUAAAAGAGUAGUUCAGUAUUCAUCCACAAGCUAUAUACACAAUACACUCUAUAGAUAUGCCAAAAUCAUCGCAAGCUCUAGAUUUUAGGUUCGAUACCUGCAAAAUCUAUUAGAAGGGUGAGUGAAACCACAGUUUAGUAGGGACAUAAACCUUUUCACGGUAAACUGAUAUAAUUAAAUUAAGUGAAAAAUAAUCACACAGCCAAAUAUCACAUUAUUAAUAACAAUGCAUGAAUGCUCUUCAUUUAACCCGUUAAUUCAUAUAAUUAGACAAGCUUCACGACCCAUACCAUGCUUAUACCACUUAGUCCCGAAUGCCAAUUUAUAUGAAUUAACGCCCAUUUCAAUCAUCCCAUAAUUCCCAUUUUGUUAGUCAUCUUGUCUAACUCCCUGUUGCCAGUCCUGAAUCACCAAAAAAAAAAAACCAUGUGCACUAUGGGAUCCCUGAGUACUAGUACCUGGCAAGAGUUAGACUCAACUACACAAAAGAUCAUUUCUAUUACCCUCUUAUCCACCAUUAUUUUCUCAACUUCAGAAUUCUAGCCAAAUUCCAUGACAUGAUAUAAUUAAAAUUAUGCCUUCACAACAAUGUGCCCAUUUAAAACAUCACUAAUGCACAUAUAAUUAUGCCCACAUUGUUCAAAUAGUUAAGAGUACGUAAAUACCCAAUACAUGGAACGUCAAUCAAACAGUACCACGCAUAAUAUAAUGCUCAAGAAAUUUAAUUAAAUCAAUCUCUGUAAAAGGCCCCUAAGAAACCCCUGCCUUGAUACUAAAGCUUUUGCUAGACCUAUAAGGUGUUUUCCAAUUUUCCACCGCAUUCACAAACUCUGUCUUCUACUUUUUUUCUUACUUCUCUCUACCACUAUUUCUUUCUCGUUUUCUUUGUUUUCACUUGUUGUGCAACUUAAUGUCCUAUAUAUAUACAAGGAACAAGUCGGCAGUAAGUGAUUUCCUAUUGGAUGGUGUAUUCGGUUGUUAUAAACUUACUAGUAAUAGUUAUCAAUGUAGUUGCAGAUGAGGAAGAAUGUUUUUGUGACUCUUCCAAUCCCUCUAAUCCUAUUUCUUAUCUUCUUGGUGAGUUGAUAGCCUCGAUACUUAACAGAUUUUAUACUUUGACACGUAUUAACAAGAACUAUUUUAAAAACAUAUACAUAUAUAUAUAUAUAAUAGAAUAUGUAUAUAUGUAAUACACAUAUUUAUAUAUAAUAAGAAUAAUAUAUAUGUAAUAAGAUAUAAAUAUUUAUUAGAACAGUAUAUAAAAUAAUAUAUAUCAUUCUUAUUAUAACAAUAAUUUUAAUUUUCCCAAAAUAAUAUAUAUUUAAAAAUAUGUGGUUUCACAUGCAUGUCCUUUUUGCUAUAGACACUAUUACAAAAAUCGAAAUAGACAACGGAAAACUACCGUCGUCUGGAAAGUUUUCAAACAGUCGUGAAAUCGACUGUCGUCUCUUUUACAUAAAACAACGACGGCUAUUAACCAACGUCGUUAAUACAUUCCACGUAAAAAACUAUUAUAAACCGACGUGUAAUUACUAUAUAUAUAGCCUAAAAUAAAAUCUUCAACAACCUUAGACGACGGUUUUAUUAAAACUGACACGUCUAAAGAGUGUUACAUGUCAAGAUCAAAACAAGAACCGACGUACAGAUAAUUAUCCACGUCCUAAUUGAAGUAAAAUAGACUUGGAUAACCUAGAAACCGUCGUGGUUAACAUAUACUACGUUAAAUUAACAAAGGCACUUACGUCUAAAAAGUAAAAGACAACACGCGCACAAAGCAACAGACGUUUAAAGCUUAGUACAUGUCAAUAGCCGCUCAAUAACCGCAGUAAAAUGAAUUAACCACGUCCCACAUAUGGCAGAACUGUUGCUUAUGUGAUUAUCCACGUCGCGGAGUAGUAGAACAAAGACGUUGUAACCAUAUUCCACGUCUGUUUCUUGUGAGAAUUGUCGUUUAAAUUAUACAAAGAAGCCCCUUUGACAGAGUUAGACGUUGCUCUUGCUGUAGAACCGACUUCUAACAGGUUUAAAAUGACACAAUAUUACUUAAUACUGCCGUAACAAAUCAUAUCCACGACUGCUGUUGUCAAAGACUGACGUUACAAAAAAUAUUGAAGGUGUUGACAAAAAAGAACCGACAUGGAUUAUGCAUUCAACGUCGUGUGGUCUAAAAAUAAAGGACGUGGUUAAUUUUUUCUCUACGUCAAGUGGAUCCAAUUGCCUGAUGUUGUAAUUCUUUACCAUGUUGGUUUUUAAUACAUGAUGAUGUGGUUGUCCUUUUAAAAGUCGCUUGUUUUACCCUCCUUGACGUGUGUAUGAUAUGAGACGUCAAUUGUUUUAGACUAGCUGACGUGCAGAAAAUCUGUCACGACAAUUAAUGCAACUGAAUUGCCUCUAUUUCCCCCAGACGACGGUAGGUUUUAAGUGUGGAAGUAGUGUUUUACAAAAUCGUAAGUUGGAGUAAUCUACCAUCGUGUUAUUCGAGAAUAUACCACGAUCUUUGUUUUGUACUCGGUCGCUGAUGUUUAUACUACUUAAUAAACUGACAUGUUUUCAGUUUCAGACGGCGGCUUUUGUUUCUUUAUGGUCUUUUGCAUUUUUUUUCCAUGACAUUUUUGAAAGCCUAAUGUUGGUUUUAUUUUAGAAAUCGAUUUUUCCCCUUUUUUUACUGGACCGUCGUACUUUACACAUUUAAUCAAUUUUUUUCAAUUUUUGAUUCAUCGUGCCCAAAGCCUACAUAACGAAAAUGUGAUCAGAAUUAAAAUGAUGUACAAAGGUAUUAAUUAAUGUCAUACAAUUAACUGAAUAACUAAUGUCAUACACUACAACAAUCAAUCAAUCCAUAUAUCUUCACACCCAUCUUUAAUAUUUUCACUCCCAAACUCACCCACUAGGUCAUCAUAUGUGUCAACAUUUGGUAUCCCUCUAGUAAAUGUCUCACACUCAAUUCUAAUAUCACCUAGCACAUCAUCACCAAUAACAUUAUUAUAUUCUCUAUUAUGCAUUGAUAACACUACCGACCAACCACGAUGCAUUGGGUCGUCAGCAUAAAAUACUUGUUUUGGUCAUUCCUAUGUCCAAUUUUACUCAAAUCUACAAAGGUGAAUCCAAGUUCAUCGACAACAAGGCCCAAAGUGUUAUCUAUCCAAUCACACCUCAAGACAAGGAUUCUAAACUUUUGGUAGUCAAGGUCCCAAAUUUCUUGAAUAACACCAUAAAAACCCAUAUUGGAGACAAUAGAGUUUUUAUCCUUAGCACUAGCAACUUGCAUAGUAUGUGCAAGUAAAUAAACUCCACUAUUUUGGACAGUUCGCAUAUCAUCUUGUGCCUUGGUGUUAAAUUUAACACCAUUAAUAAGAUAGCUCCUAUAUGAUGGCAUUGCCAUGCUUGGACUAGCUGCUAGCCACCUCAAAUUUUAUGAUACGCCAUUAUGCUCUUCCCCAUUAAGUUCACUUUGAACUUGCAAAUUAAUCGUAUAUAUCCUAAUUCGAUCUAACAUAUAAAAAGGAAGAAAAUUAAAAGUUGAAUAUGUCAUUCAAUAACAUAUAUACUUGAAAGUGUAGCCAUUGAAUGAAAGUGCUAUUGUGCUUAUCUUGCAGCCACUUUGUUCUCUUUCUAAAUAUUGGAUAAGUGGUCUUGAUGUGGAUCAUAUGUUCCAUACAUUGACACGAAAAAAUCAAGCAUUACGGUCCCUUGUAUAUAAGAUAACAUAAGGAAUAAUAAUAUUUAAAAUGGCUCUAUAUGAAAAAUGGAACUCAUGCGUACUCGAUAUAAGGUAGGACUUCCUCAGUAUUCUCCAAGACAUAUAGAUGUGUCUGGUUCAAAAAACCCGAUCACCUAAGCUUACUGUGCAACCAGAUAAUGGCUUUGAAACUCCCAUCUUCUAGCUUGAAGGCACUCCAACUGUACUAACAUCAGAUAAAUGCUCGGUGCAAAACUCUACAACUUCUUCAGCUAUAUACCGCUCAAUAAUGCAACAUCCGGGACGAGUACGGUUCUGAACAAACCUAUUUAGCACUUUCAUAUGUCUUUCAAAUGGAUACAUCCAUCUAAAAUAUACUGGCCCAUGUAGACGAACUUCUCUGACAAGAUGUACUACUAGAUGAACCAUGAUAUCAAAGAAUGAAGGGGGAAAGUACUUCUCAAGCAAACGCAACGUAACUACUACAUCUUCUUCCAAAUUAUCUAGCUUGGAAACAUCUACUGUCUUUGCACAUAUAGCAUUGAAGAAGAAGCACAAUCGAGUUAUUGCAUACCUUGCAGGCUUCUCCAAACAGAACGAAUUGCCACAGGGAGCAAUUGUUGCAUCAAGGCAUGAAAAUUAUGAGAUUUAAGGCCAAGAAGUCUUGAAUAUUUUUAAGAUACAAGAUUUUUUUAUAUUUGAACAAUAACCUUCAGGGACUUUCAUACCAUAGAAAGAAUUGCAAACCGCUCUCUUAUCUGCUCUUGACAAAUUCUAGGGCCUUGGAGGCAAGCGAGUACGUCUUUCUCAAUACUCGGGUUGCAAAUCAUUUUUGACCCCCAUGUUCAAUAAAUCUAACCGAACAGCAAUCUCAUCUUUAUUUUUUCUAGGGAUCUCCAGCAAUGUACCAAUGAUACUAUCGCAAACAUUCUUCUCAAUAUGCAUAACAUCUUGGACAUGCCUCAUAGGAAGGUAUUUCAAAUACUCGAGAUCAAAGAAUUUUGAUUUCUUAUUCCAACAAACUCUGUCACCAUCAUUCUCAAAAACACUUCCCCCAUUUUUCGAGCCCCAUAUGUAAUUAAUAUCUUCAACCAUGUCCUAUUCAAGUUAAUGGUUCGGGAGGCGUGCCAUAUUCAAGUUUUCCAUUGAAAGCUGCACGCUACCUCCGACAUGGAUGAUUGAUUGGUAACCAUUUUUUAUGACCAAUGUAACAAAUUUUGGGGCCAUUUUCAACCUGUGACUAGGUGUAUCAUCGCCGCAUAUUGGACAAGCUUUAUAUCCUUUAACGACACUGUAACACCCCGACUCUAAAUUAAUCCCUUAUUUAAUUAUUUAAAGAAAAUUACAAAUUUACCCUUAAGAUAGGGGUAUUUUGGUCAUUUUCUUACCCGAAGAGAGUUUGGGGCAGUGACUAGUAUUUUUGGAUAGGUCGUACUGAGACGAGUUCAUAGACACGUAGUGGGCUCGAAUCGAAGUUGUAACGAGAGAGAUAUGGUCAAAAGAAACCCAAUUGCACAAUCAUAAUUAUUUCGAAAUGAGAUUUUUAUAAAAAUCAGAUUUUUUUUUCUCUCUCUCUCUCUCUCCUCGUCGGUCUCUCUCCCUCUCCUCGAAACUCCGGCCAUCGGCCACGGCUGUGGACGGGGCCGGUACCAAAAUGACCGAGGCGUUGUCCUCCUCUAAUCCCAGCUAGGUCCCGCCGUCAGCCGCCAUGGUUUCGCCGGAAAAUGGAGAAGAAGCGGCCGGCGUCGUCCGAAGUUCUCCGCCGUUGAUCUCCCUCUUCCGGUCACCGAUUCCGACGAGUGAGGUAUGGUUUCUCACCUACUUUUCAUGCUCUAGCUGCCUGCUGGGUAUGAUUGGAUUGAUUUUUAGCGUAGGCAAUUCGAUUUUCGCAUUGAAAUUCGGCUAAUUUUGGAAUCACGAUUCCGGCUAGUUCUGGUCAGUUUUUGGGGUAGAUCCAAGAACAAAAGUGGCUCCAAAUAGGGUGUUAUACCUAGGGUAGGAGUUUGGAGCCAUGGUUUUGAGAUUUUCCGGCGAUACGUAAUCGCUUUAGACACCCAACGCUGCCCGCACGUGUGGCAGUGCGUGGGCGAGGGUAGUGAAAUAGCACUAUGUCUCGAUGAGAUCCUUAGGUUGUCACGAGUGCGUAGGAUUUCGCGGAUCUCAAUUCGGACGUCGUUUGACUAUCGAACGGAUUUUCGUAUAUUGCGCGUCAUCCGGGUUCGAUAGGUUGGGACCGUUGGAUGGUCUCGAAUAAAAUAUAUGUUAAUCUAGGUAUUUCUAGGAUCAUGUAGGAAUUCACGGAUUAUAAAUCGGAGCCCCGGAUAUUCCGAAUAAAUAAUUUAAAGUUUAUGUUUUAUAAUAACCGUCACAUCGUGCGAUCGUGAGCGAUCCGACCGGCCGAUCUGGACCAAACUUACAGAACGAGUGUCCUAUACCUUGAAGAACCCAUAGGAAUUUUCAGAUCGAAAUUUGGAGGUCGUGGGCCCCGUGGGCCCAUUUGACUAGGGGUAGGGUAGUUUGACCCUUAGUUGACCGUGAGUCUCCCGGAGUAAUCUCACCUUUCCAGGGGGAUUAUCGGGUGCUAGACUGUUGUUGAGGUUUACACGAUAUUAGUAGUAAAUUAUAUAUUUAUAUACAUUUGUAAAGGUAAAAAAUAAGUCCAGAAUGUCAGUUUGAAGUGCUUUACGCACUACCUUAGGUACCUCCCCGGAUUUUAGUUACACUACAAGUACCACCCUAUGAAAGUUAGGUCCCACGUGGCGUAGGUUAUCCGGCGUGCGGACAGGCCCUAUACGUGGCAUUGGUAGUAUCGGUGUAUGGGGAGAUUACGUGAUAAUAUGUUGAGGUCACACGUGGCGUAGGUUAUCCGGCGUGUUGACAGACCCCAUACGUGGCGUUGGUUGUACCGGCGUAUGAGGAGAUAUUGUGAUAUGAUAUUCAGGUCUCGCGUGGCGUAGGUUAUCCAGCGUUGAGACAGACCCCAUACGUGGCGUUGGUUCUACCGGCGUAUAAGGAGUUUAUGUGAUAUUAUGUUGAAGUCGCGCGUGGCGUAGGUUAUCCGGUGUGUCGACAGACCCCAUACGUGGUGUUGGUUGUACCGGCGUAUGGGGAGAUAUGUGAUAUGAUGUGCAGGUCUCGCGUGGCGUAGGUUAUCCGGCGUUGAGACAGACCCCAUAUGUGGCGUUAGUUGUACCGGCGUAUGGGAAGAUAUUGUGAUAUGAUAUUCAGGUCUCGGGUGGCGUAGGUUAUCCGGCGUGUUGACAGGCCCCAUACGUGGCGUUGGUAGUACCGGUAUAUGGGGAGAUUAUGUGAAAUACAGAGAAAUGAAAUAAGGUAUUGCCUAUGUGUGGAAUUGGGUUUUAAGGAAGAACUACGUGUGGCUUGAUCCCUCAGGGAGGGUACGUAGGCAGCCUAAGGUUAUUAGGUGUAGCCGCGGACAUAGACGUGAUUGUGUUAGGAGGUUAAAACCUCGUAUGUUGAAAUUGAGAAAAUUAGAUGAUGUAUGUUGAAAUUUAGUAGUCGUAAUUUAUAUUUAAAUUUAUCGUUUGCCUUGUUUAAGGCAUGAAUUGAUUUGCUAGCAUGCUUGGUAGUUGAGAAUUAUAGAAAGGCCGAAGGCCGUUUAUGUGAAUUGCAUGGAAUUAUAUUGUGCAUGCUGCCAGUUGUAGUUAUUAAAUGUGUUUUUAUGCAGGUUGAAAUUUUGGGAAAUGUCCAAUUUACAGGGGAGACUCUGCCGAAAUUUCGGCAGAAAGUCUCGGUCUUUAGUAAGUGGGCCUGACAUCGAGGUGAUGUCGGGGAAUCCACAGGAUCCGCCUCGAUUUUUGGAAAAAUCGGGGCGGUUCCUUUCAGACACAACCAGAUAAGUUCUCAUAGGCAGAAAAAUCAUUAAUUGUUCACAGUAAUACACCUAUGAGUGUAAAGUAAUCUCCUAUGUGUGCAUCAUACACUCCUUUAAUCCCAUCCCACAAAGAUUUUAAAUCAUCAAUCAGAGGCUCUAAGUAGACAUCUAUAUCAUUUCCAUUCUAUUUAGGACCAGAAAUCAAUAAGGUCAAUAUCAUGAACUUCCAUUUCAUGCAUAGCCAUGGUGGGAGAUUAUAUGUAACUAAGAUAACCAACAAUUGUAUCUGCUACUUAAAGAACUGUGGGGAUUGAAUCCAUCAGAUGAGAGAGCCAAUCUCAAGUUUCUUGGCUCUUUACUGAACUCGGGCCAUUUAUCAUCAACAAGUUUUUAAGACGGGAAAUUCGCUGGAUGAGACAUAUGACCGUCAAUUGCUUUUCUAGCAACAUGCCAAGUCAAACUCUUAGCUGUCAUAUGUGAUUGAAACAUCCUUUUAAACCUUGGAAUUGGAGGAAAAUACCACACCACCUUCGCUGGCACACUCUUUUUCAAGAUUGAAUCUUUGCAUUCCUUCCACCUUGAGAUACCACAAGUAGGACAAUUAGUUGAAUCUUCAUAAUCAUUCCUAUACAAGAUGCAGUCAUUGGGACAUGCAUGGAUAUUCUCAUAACUCAUCCCUAAAGGAGAUAAUGUCUUUUUUGCCUCGUACAUAGAGGAAUAUAGUGUCUUUCCUUCUGGAAGCAAAUCUCCUUGAAGUAUCAAUAAUUCUAUAAAACAAACAUCACUCAUCCCAUGUUUUGCUUUCAAAUUAUAUAACUUCACCAAAGCCGACAACAUCGUGUACUUACUGCAACCAGGGUACAAGGAUUGAUCUCAAUCCCCAAUCACAUUGGCAAACUCAUAAGGAUCAAAUCCAAUAUCGCCUAAAUCAUUAUCAUCCAUCCCUACUUCUUUAGAAACAAAACUGAACCUACUUUGCUCAUCUUCUUCCACAUUUCUACUAGCAUUAGUAGUCAAUUCCCAAGGUUCUCCGUGCCAUGUGCAAAUCUGAUAGCUUUAGUCAAUUCCAUUAAAGUAUAAGUGGUCCCUCAUAAUUCCAACCCCAAACAAUCGAAUAUUCCCACAUUUAACACAUGGACAACGAAUAUGAGUUGUAUUUCCAAGAUUUUCUACAGCAAAAUUCAAAAAUCCUUCCACCCCUAACUCAUAUGCCUUCGGUCUUCUAUCCGCAUGCAUCCAUGACUUAUCCAUCUCACACACUAUAAAAUCAUAUAUAUAAUAAAGUGAAAAGACCAGCAAUGAAACACUACUUUAUUCACAUAGCAAAGAAUGAAUUGAAAAAAAAAAUUAACCAAGAAUCAGACGACGGUUUUUACAAAAAAAAUCGUCCUGUAACAGAGGGUCAGACGACGGCAUAUCUAGUUAUCGACGUCUUUAAGCUACCCAAACCCAGAUAUUUGUAUUGCUUUUUGAAGAACCGGGUUCUGGGUUCUGGUAAACAAAAGAUGACGGUAAAUGGAGAAACACCGACGUAUCCUAAAACUUGAGACGACGGUUUAUUUCACCAACCGUCGUCGUAGUUUACGAAAAACAGAAGUCUAAAUCUCCCAUCCUCAUUCCUUUUCUAAGAACCCUUAACAAAAUGCAAACAUCAAAAUAUAAAAGAGCCAUAUAUAGCUCCCAAUUAAGAAACCAAAGCUACCAAAACAUAUAUUAAUAAACCAAAGCUACCAAAAUGAACGAAAACAUUUAUGGGUUUUACAAACUAAGAGAAUAUUGAGAGAGAGCUGAGAGAAUAUACUUACAUGGAUAUUGAGAGAGAGCUGAGAGAAUAUAACAAAUGCUUGAGAGAGAGCUUAGAGAAUAUACACAAUGCUUUGAGAGAGAGCGAAAAAUUUAAGACAAAUUUAUGUUGAAGAGAGAGAAGGAAAUAUUUUAGGGUUAAAGGGAAAUUCUGAAAAUUUUAGAUCACCGUCAAAAUUUUCAAAGGACCGCGUUUUUCAAAGACGGCUAAGGAAAACUACCGCCAUUGUAAAUCAUUUUACUACGACGGUUGAGGAAAACUACCGCCAUUGUAAAUCAUUUUUAUGUCGCCUCUAUAAAAACCGACGUCUAAAAUAUUAAAUAAUUAGAUUUGGUUUGCAUUUCGUGGGAUUCUAACGUGCGUAAUUGACCAAAAAGAGCGAGAGAAAACCAGCGUCGUUUCUAUAAAACCUAAACCCUAAACCCUAAACCCUAAACUCUAAAACCUAAACACUGAAAAAAUUAACCAAAAAUUGCUAUGGACUCCUUACAACAAUGCCUUCUAUAUUAGUAGGCUAAAAUCGGGAUUAAAUAAUUUUGAAUUUUAUGACCACCAAUGGAUCACAUAAACCUUAGGGUUAUGUUUAUGGAAAGUAUAAGGAUUAUUGUGUUUUGUCUCUAAAUCUUUUUUACUUUUGUUAUCACUUGUAACUUUGAAAUCUAAAAUUAAAAUUUUCAGGCCUUUAGGGGGGAGAUAUUGUCUCAAUGUGUUUAUAGAAUUUGAGACUGCGAAGGUUCUAGCUGAUUGACUAAGGAUGAGGCAGGAUGGAUGGAAGGUUUGCUUGGAGAUUCUACCUUUGUCAGCUCUUCUGGUUGACAUGUUGUUUAUUCUGCCUGAGGAACUACUUCUAGAUUUUUCCCUUUUCUAGCAGAACUAGUCUCUGGAAGUACUUGUGUGUCAUCCUUAUUCUUGAGGAAGACGCAGUAUUGCCUUUGAACUCUCCUCUUUUGCAUUCUGGUUAGCUUCAGAGUUGGUCUUCGGCUUUUUCCAAUAGAAUAUCAUCUACCUUCUAUGAUAGUUGCAAAGGGCUUGUCAUUUCCAGGCAUCUUAACUGGUAUUUCCUUCUUUGGCUGCUCUAUUAUUCUCUUGUUGCGUUGGGCAGGCCUUAAAUAGUCCUUCUGUCUGGCUCUAUCUCUAGGUGGAGCCGGAACUAGGCCUUGUUGGUAUGAUGUUCCAAUCCUGUCAAAAACACAAGGUGUGGGCUGACUUUGCCUAACCAGAGUUACCUCUAACUCACUUUCACAUUUGCACCUGUUGCACAAAACUACCCCAGCCGAAAUGGUUGCUUUUGGUCUUCAAUUAGCCUAUCUUUGGACUCUUCUGCCUAUGCUGGGGCUAACUUUUGCUGUUAGUUUGCCUUUCUUUUGUUUUGGCCAAUUUAAGUUGACCAUGUUGACUUGAGGUUGGGGAAAAGGGUCUGUUGUUAUCGAAUGAGGUUUCUCAGCCAGUUUUAGCCUCCAUGCUGUUAUUCCUUCCUGUAUGACGUCCCUGAAAACAACACAACUAUUGGUGGAAUGGUCCCAGGAGUUAUGCCAUCUGCAAUACUGUCUGCCCUUGAGUUCCUCUAGCUUGGGCAACUUGUAGGGUGUUUCUAUUGCCUUCUGUCGCAGCAUGUCAUCAAACAGGGCAUCAACCUUGGUUAAAUCGAGGGAAUAGACUUUGUUAUGAGCUGGUUUGUUUGGAACAAACCCUCUUGUGAAUGGUGGUGGCUUUUGGUCCUUUGGUGGCUUUGUUAAAGCCUUGCAACUGAUGAGAUGUUUUAAUUUCCCCAUUUCUGCCACUGCAACUUCUCUCUCCUCCGAGCUUUCUAUGCCUUCUUCUGAUUCUACCUCAACAAGAUUUACUGAAGAGGAUGGGGUUUUGUAAUAUGUGCCUUUGAAAGAGUUCCUCUUCUAUUGUUCUUCCCUGAGCAGCUCCUUGUAUUUAGAUGCUUUGUCUGCUAGUUCUGCCAGAUCUCCAAACAGCAUCCCAUCAAAUUUUUUUCUCAGAGAGAUUUUAAGGGAGAUUUGAGCCAUUUGGAUGAAGUGCCCUUCCUCCAUAGGGAUUCAAAAUUUCAUUUUGAGCUUUUUGAACCUGGUUAUGAAGUCUUGGGCAGGCUCAUCUUCCCUCUAUUUCCAGGUUUGAGGGCAGCAAGAUCACUGAUGGUGACUUCUGGCUGAAUCCUAAAAUAGUAGUCAUGGAAGACAUUUUCCAUCUAUUUCCAGGUUUGAACAGAAUUGGCUGGUAAGCUAGUAUAUUAGAUGAAGGCUUGUCCAGAGAGAGAAUUUCGAAAAAGCCUUAGUUUUAACAGAAGGUUAUUUUCUAUGGCUAUGCACUGGAAAGAGAAUCUGCCUAUAUGCUUAACUGAUGAAGCAUGGGUGUCUUCUCCGUUGAACAAGGUGAAGUGUGGUACCUUAAAGCCCAGGGAUAGAGGUAUUUGAUCGAUAUAAGCUGGAUAAGGCUUUCUGUAGGUGGGCCUUUCUCCUCUUCUGGCCUCAGGUUCCAUCAUCUCUCUGAUCAUUCUAUAAAGUGCCCCCAUGUCAUUCAAAGCAUUGACAUGAUGCGGGGUUCGCCCCUGUUCUGGCUAGUUGUGUUCAAUCCUUUGUUCUACUUUAUAUGGCCUGGGCAGAACUUCCUCCCUAUGCUCUUCCUCUUUUUCGAAAUCUGGAUGAUUCCUUUAGUUUGCCCCCGGUCUGUUUUUGUCAUUGUUGGCAAAGGGUUUAACUCCUACUCUACCUCUCAUGCCACUUGCUAGUGGAGGGAAUGGAUUGGGGUCCAUCCUUCUAGGUCUGUAGGGCAACACAACUGGUUGCUCAGGCAGAAGUGCCAAGGCCUGAUCACGUGGGGCCACUAGUUGUGGAAUAGGUGGAGGUUCUGGCUAGUUCUGAGGGGGUCUGAACUGGUGCAGAGCCUUCUGGAUGAACUGAAUCCUCAUGUUCUUGGAUGGGAAGGGCUCCUCCCCUCUGUCCAGCUUGGAUUUCUCCAUGUCCUGGUAUUCCAGCUAUCUGUGUGAUGAGAGGCUUCUCUUCAUAUGGCCAUGCCAGUCCUGGUAGAGGUCCAAAAGGGAGAUCUAGCUGCUGGACCACCAUGUCUAGGUUUGGAAUUUUGGCAAUAGUAGCCUCACGGUCCUUCCUGAACUGCCUGUUGACUUGCCAUUACAUCAUGGUUGUCAUGUUGUUUAGAGUAUCUUGGCUCAUUUGUGCUGUGGCUUCUUGCCGAAACACAGCCUCCUGUAUCUAGUUUAACCUUCUGGAACCAGACAUGGAACGUCUACUCGUGGUACUGCCAUGGGCUGAUUACCUAGCAUCACUUUCUUUUGACUCAAGUCCUUUUCGGAGAGCUGCUUGAUCUCUUUUCAUGGCAUAGCGUGGAUUCUGGCUAGAACUUCCAAUAUUCAUAUACUAGAGGAUUUUUCUAGAAAUAUAUGUAUUGAGAAGUCCCACUGGGCGUGCCAAAUUGUUCAUCCGUUUUAGAUUUGUUCCUGUGAUGGUAGGGUAAAGUUCCUCAUUGACUUGAAAACCAUUGGUGGUCAAUAAGUCAACUUUCUUUUGUGUACAAAUGUGCCACUGCUAGCAAUAAAAACCCUAGCAGACUUCUUAAAAAUAGAAAACUUGUGCCCAAGUUAUUAACUUCUAAAUAAGCGAUUGUGAAUUUGGGCGAGGAAUAUCUCCCAAGUAAGUUCUUUUCUUUGCCUCAGAUUGGUGAGGACUUCACAAUUUUUCACAGUACAAAACUGGUAGUUCUAGCUAGAAUAAAUGAUAAGAAAGUGAACUGUUUUCAGGCAGAACUACCUUUUACAAAGCUUAAAAAGGAAGACCAACUCUAAAAAGACAAAAAGAGCUUUUGGACUUCAAUUUCUGCUUGGAUAAAUGCUUCUGAUCCGGGCUGGACUGGGUAUGUUUGUGCUGGACUGGACUAUCAACACCUUCAACUGUCAAGUUUUAGCUGUCAAUGAAUACCAAUGUUCGAGUGUGGCAAAGCUUCAAUCUAUUUCAAGCCGUGCAAGGCUUUUUGAACGGACAGAAUUGGAACCUCUUCAGUCUGGAAGGGGUAGAAGUGGCUGAAUUUGGUGAUUACUGAGCUGGAACUGCACUGUAGUACCUGUUCUGCUUGAUCAGGGCUCUCCAUAAAUUUGUUGAGGUUUUAAUAUUGGUAAAACCCGAAGCUUAUGUUGAACCAACUUUGUAACGAGAGAAAUCUUGCUUUGAAUGACUAUUUCUCUGAAACUAAACAGAAGUUAGAGAUUCUGGAAUAUAGCUGACUUGUUUCUUAUGGCUCAAUGAGCUUUUGGUUGCUUCAGUGUUUUGAAGGCUUUUGAGAUCAAGUGAUCAUUUUGAGUUUUUAUUUUUGAUUGAUUUUUUGGCUGUCCUUUUAUCUGUUCACCUCAUCUCAUAUUUAUAGAAUAUACUGGAGUGUGAUUUCUAAUCUUUUAAUAAUGGGCGGCAAAUCUUUUAAAAGAUCUUUUUUUCUUUUUUCAAUGUCAUAAGAGAAGGAAGCUACUAUUCUGACAGAGAAAGGUUGUCAACAAUCAUCUUUCAAUUUUUCUAUGUUCACUUUUUGUUCUUUGUAAAGAGAAAGAACACAAUCUACCAUGAUGGUCAGUGUGCUUUUCCUGUUGAACAACUCCCUCGUUCUCUACUUAUCUCUUGAAAACGUAGUCUGCUUAUCUCUUGGAAAGACCACCUGAUUUGGUGCAGAGCUUCUCUAUAUAUAUAUAUAUAUAAAGGGAUUUUGAUCUUCUUCUUUUGGCUGAAAAAAUAGAGAAGUCUUUCUGUAAGACCUGCCUUCAUUAAUUUUCUAUCAACUUCUCUGUAAUAGUUGAAAAUUUUGACUUUUCAAAGCCAGGUAUUCACGUGGGGUUGUUUAGAAAAGAUCUGUUGAUUUUGUCAAUCUUUUAGGGUAGAGAUUAAAUAGCGUAAAAAGGCUGGGCUAGUCUCUUUUUCUUAGUAGAUAAAAAGCCCAAAUAUUUUGUCUCACUGCCCUUUUCUGGAAAAUAAAUGGGCUGGGUGUGUUGGAAAUUGGCCCAAUCUUAAGAAAGACUCUGGUGGCUGCCCAAAAUUGACAUAGGCUUUUCUUGAUUUUGGGCUGGGCAUGCCAAAUUAGGCCCAAACAAUGCCCCUUAAGUCUGAAUUGUUUUUGGAAUAGUUUCAGACUUAAUGAUUUGGCCAUUAAUUUGUGCGCGCCAUUUCCUUCUGUUAGCCCACAUCUGCCACGUCUGCCUAUUAUGAUCAAGACUUCGUGGGAAAGUGGGCAGUUACUAGCUAGUUAUUAUCAGGUGGCGUCUUGUCUUCUUCUUCCCACGAUUUCGAGUCUUUCUAAGAAAUUUAAAAAGACCUCAGCUCCUGUUUACUCAAAACCUAACUUCUUCAGACCUUGAUUUUCCUCAGUUUUCUCAGAAUUUUUACCCUUUUCUGCGAUCAAACCCUGCUUCCUUUCAGUUUGAUUCCCCUAUCCUAGCUCAAAACCCGAAAAUGUCUUCUCCAAAAAAUCGUGCCCAGACUUCUUCUUAUUCUGUUCCUCCUACCUACAUUACUGGGGCCGGUGUUGAUAAGCAUGUGAUUGAAGUCCGGAGCAAGCUUCAUCCUUUUGCCCAGAACGUUCUGGACAAGAACGUGUUACAUUUGUUCGAGAACACUCUUGUUUUGGAGCCUCAUCGGUUUGGUUCUGUCCCGACUGAAAUGGCAGAAUUGUUUAAAGAAUAUACUGAAGCUCCUCUAUGCUUUCAGAGCUCUUUCGUAGAUUUCAGUUUUAUAUAUAAACUAUCGUGUUUCUCCCUAUAACAUGUCGUUUUUAAGAAUUGUUGUCAAUGUUUUAUUUCCUGCUACUAUAAGACGGCGAUUAUUUAUACAUAUGAGACGUGUAAAUUAGAAUGAGACGUCAGUCUUUGGGAUUUAAAUUAAGUUUUUACGAUUUAAUGUCAUUUUAGUUCAUAUAAGGACAUAAAUGUCCUAACCAAAAAUAUAUUUAUGUACAUUGUCAAUAAAUUAAAAUAAACCUAAACAUUGUUAAAAUAAAUUAGAUCACUUAUUAUUCUGUAAUUACUUGUUAACGAAUUCAGCCCAUUCCAACCUGACUUCGUCAAUAUGUUCUUAUACAUACUGAACUGGUUCCUUUUUCUUAUCAAACUGCAAAUAAAUAACAAAAACCAACGUGUUAUAAAGAUUACAACGACUGCUUUUAAAGAAAAAGUUGUGGUACUAAAAUAAAGAAUUUAUAUCUUAAGUUUUGCCUUUUACCUUCUUCUCAAAUGCUAGGCCUGGAUCAUGAAUUAUAUCUCUCAUGAAAUGCAUCACGUAAUAGCCACACUCUACAUUUGUUGGUUGUCGAGGAGUGCCAUGUAGAUUUUUCCAUAUGACUGAUUUACAUGAUGAUUAAUUGCCUGUGUGAGAGUUAUACAUUUUGAUUGAACUGUUUCAAGAAAAUGAAAAGUGUUAAUGAUAAAAAUAAAAAUCUAAAGCAAAAAUAUUAAACGUCGUGGUAAAUAAGUGAAGACGAUGGUUUUGUUAAAAAAGUGAUGUUGUAUUUCAUUUCAAACGUUGGUAAAUAAAAACCGUCGUUGUGUAGAAUUCUAACGUCGGUGACGAUGAAAAAUGACGUAUAACCAAAAAUUGUUUGUAAAUGAAAGUUGAACAGAAAAAAAUAAAACUUCCUUAAAUGAAAAACACAAACGACGUGGUAUUUCAAUUAAAAUGACGGUUUACAGAAAAUACUGACGUUGUAAAUGAUUUCAAACAUCGGUUUGAAGUUACCAUCGUGUUUUCAUUGUAACGUCGGUAUUAGAAAAAGCCGUAUAUCAUUCAAAUGCAAAUAAAAAAAUGUUAGAUUUUCAUAGAUAAACUUACAUAUUCACUAUAUUUCUCAUGUCCUCGUCAACAACGCGGUUUGGCAAUGAAUCCAUGUAAUAGAUAGUCUCCUUCGCUGGUCUCACAAUUAUUAACACCCAAUGACCCCUACACAUAAUGAUCCAUAUAGGUUAAAUAUACUAGAAAGAAAAAUAGGCAUCAAGUAUAGUUAAGGGGACUAACCUUGGAUUACAAGGCACCAUGUAAAAUUGAUCCCCAUUUGCGUUUUUCAGGCGGUCUGAGAGAUGUUUCAAACGGUAAGAUAACGUUCCAGAUUGAGAGCUGACUUGUCCAAGGUCCACGAAGCCAAUAAGGUUUACCAUAUUUUCUAUUUUUAAAUAGUCAAAUAGGCACCUAAAUAUAUGAAAUUCAAUUAAAUGAGAUUUUAACUUUAAAGAAAGGAAAUGUAUAAUGCAAUCACUGUGGAUCCAAUCUCAACCAUGGAAGGAAAUUGUAAAAUAUCUUCACACAAGAGGAAGGUAUCAUGGUUAAUGCCAAAGGCUUCCUCUGGAAUGUGAAUUCUAAUGGUCUCGUUAAUGGGCUUCAACUUGGUCUCGACAAAUUGAAAUAAGGCUAACAGAGGAGGUGGCAUGUCUAGCUUUGAGAGAUCCUGUUACAACAAAUAAAUAAAGAAAUAUAAGUUAGUUUGUACACUAAGUAAAAUAAACGACUCUAACUAAACCAAUCAAACCGACGUGGUAUAUAAUAUAAUCGACAGUUUCUAGAACAUACUGAAGGAGUAAAGGUUAUAGACGACGGUAAAGACAUAACCAUCGUUAUGUAAAUGUUCUAACGUCGCUGCAUUAUGGAAAGGUCGUCUAAUUAAAAUGCAGUGAAGCCUUUAUUGAAAUACACGACAGUUUAUAAAAUAAACACCGACGUAGUAAAAUACUGAGACGACGGUUAUCAGCAACGUCUAUUUGAAAUUAUAAAUCAGAAAAAAUCAAAUAUCAAAGAUUUUACCGUUUCAUCUUGCCAUUGUUUAGCAACAUCAGCAUCAUUCGUGGGAUUUUCUUCCUCCAAAACAAGGGGUCUCACAUUAGAGCAGCUUGCUUUGUCAGACAUUAGAUUUUUUGGAGUAAUUGGAGUUUUAUUGAGCAAGUUGGGAUCACAGUUGGGAAUUAGUUGACUGAAUUGUUUCAAUAAAAUUUCCCUCUCUGCUCUGACUGCCUCCAAAACAGUUUCUUUUGCCUUAGCUUUAAUCUUUUUGGUUUCUUCUCUCACUGCCUCCAUAACACUUUCCUUCAAUUUGUUAGCAAAUUUUACUCUCUGCUGUCUCGACAAAUUGAAGAAUUGAGUUGGGGAAACCCCAGCUCCAACACCUCUAACUCUCCCACCAUGCUCAGGGGUUCCCAAAGCCAAGGUCAAAAUAUCGUUGCUCUCAGAGACAGCAGAGUGCCCUCGGAAACUUGUUUUUUCAAAUCAUCCUAAAAGUGAGAGAGAGAGAGAGAGAAUGUUAGUGAGUGAACAGAUAGUAAAACAGAUUAAAUAAACAACUAUACAAAAAUAUUAACCGACGUGGUAAAGACUUUAAAAAACUGAAAUCAAUCCCCAAUAGUAACAGGGACCAUGCAGCAACGAUUUGGUUGACAGUAGUAUAGGUUGGAGAUGCUGUUGAUCAUUAGAUACUAUUUUUUUAAAUAUCAAUUCUGUAACAUCCAGACCUAAAAAAUUAAUGAUUUUGAUUUAAAAUUAAAUUUAAAUAAGCAAUUACGAAUUUACCCUUGGGGAAGGGGUAUUUUGGUAUUUUUUUUUUAUUCAGAAAGAGUUUGGGGCAGUGACUAGUAUUUUUGGGUAGAUCGUACUGAGACGAAUCCGUAGACACGCGGUAGGCCUGAAUCGGAGUUGUAACGAAGAAACGGUGACCAAAAUUAGUCCAGUGGCAAACUUGUAAAUAUUUUGAACUUGGGUGUAGAAAAAUCUGAAACUGGCUUCCUCUCUCCUGCGUGCACACGUCCUUCUCUCUCUCUCCUCUCUCUCUCCUCGAUACCAUCACUCUCUGUCUCUCUCUUCGAUUCUCUCAAUUCUGGCCACGGCAAGGGCCGGGACUGGUUCCGAUCAACUCCUCACAAAGCCCCGAACCAGAACCACCACUUUUCUUGGCCGGAAAGCUCGAGUUUCGCGUGGUAAUCUCGACUGGUUUGAACCAGUUUUCCUCCGUCAUUGUGCCGCCGCCAUCGCAGCCCAAUCUCGGUUAAACAAGUGAGGUUUCUUACUCUUUUUCCGAGCUCUAGCUGCCUGUUGGGUAGGAUUGGAUUGAUUUUUUGUCUAGGAUCCCGAUUUUGAAACCUAAGUUUUGACGAAUUUCAAAGUGAAAUUCCGGCCGGUUGCCGUCCUAAUUAGACCUCCCCGUAGUUGAAUAAAGUGAUCCUCGCUUCGAGUAGUAGCUAAGGUAGGAAUGGUGAAUUGCGGUGUGGAGUUUUUCCAUCACUGAAAAUUACUCUACACAUCCACGCGUUGCCAGGGCAUGUGGAGGCGCAUGGGCAAUGUGGUGAGACCACAUUUUAUCCUGAUGUAGUCUCCUAGUCCUCACGUGCGCGUAAGUGUGCUCGAAUUUCAAUUCGAAUGUUGUUUGACUAUCGAACGGAUUUAUGCAUAUUGUUUCUUAUCCGGGUUCAAUAUGUUCGGACCAUUGGAUCGAGUCCAAAUUUACGUAUGUUAAUCUAGGCACCCCUAGGAUCAUGUGCGAAUUCGCGGAUCGUGAAUCGGAGCCCCGAAUGUUCCGAUUCAAUAAUUUGAAGUUUAUGGUUUGCGAUAACCGUCAAUUUCUGACCAAACCUACAGGACGUGUUUCCUAAACCCGUAGUCGGACCUUAGAAUACUCGUUAUGCGUGCACGCACCGGGAACUUGAGAAAAUUAGUAUUUAAUUUGUAAAUUCCGUUUUGAAGUGAUUUUUUAUUAAUUAAGGGUGCGUAUCUCGAAAUAGGUGCUCCAUCACUAGCACGCAGCAGGUAGGACCCUCUUGAGGUCAGGCAGUGUGGGACUACUUGUGAGUGGACAUUUAUUUUAUAUAUGCAUUAUUUUCAAUGAUUGAAAGAAUAUGCAUGAAAUAUAUAUAUUUUUUGGAAUAAAGAUUGAGAAAUUCAUAUGUUGUUAUAUCAGUAUUAUUUAAUUUAGAAUUUGGUUUGAUUUGAUGAUGAGUUAUAUAAAGGUCAAGUUAUUCGUGAUUAAGUCUUGGAUGAAUUUUGGGGGAAUCGGGAAUUGAAUAUUAUGGUUUAUGGUGGGAACUUAUAUGAUUACACUGUGUGGAGUACCAUCCCCUAGUUACUAGGCUUCCCACAUGUGGCGUUGGAAAUUUUCCAGCGUGUGAUGAUGUAGUCUGCACGCAUAGGACUUAGUAUUGGAGCUACACGUGGCGUUGGAAUUUCCGGCAUGUAAGCUAUGGAGUUUCGUCCCCCGGUUGGACCGCUCAUCCCUAGACGCAGGAUAGCAACUGAAAAUCUUGCGGGUUAGCCAAACAAUCCCCCGGUUGGAUUGUUUCCCCGGUACCUAAGUAGUGUGAUAAAUAUUAUGUAUAUUUAUAGAUAUAUAUAUUUCUAUGUGUGUGUGUGUGUGUGUGUGUGUGUGUGUGUGAGUAUAAAUCAGUUAAAGUAUAUGUAGUGGUUGGGUAAGAGCAGUAUAAAUUUUGGGGAUAAAGUUUAUGGAUAGAGUGAUUGAUCUCAAAGGGUUUCGGAGAAUGAUGUUUUUGAUCAUUAAAUAAAAGUUAUGAAUCUGCAUGUCUUGAGCAUUAUUUUUAGACGGUGGGGUUAUUAUGUUGUUUUGAAUGCAAAUUUUGUUUUUCCACUCACAUGUUUUCUGUUUUGCGCCCCCCAAACAGUAGUCGCUCAAGGGAGAGUUGCAAGCCAUGUUCGAGGCCCCGAACUGUGAACAUCAGUAGAUUAGGUUUCGAGUAAUUUCUUUCUACUCAACUGGAUGUUCUUGUAAACUAAAUUCGUUAGAUGCUCUAUUAUUGCCCCUGUUAGGUUUUACUUGUGAGGCCAGAGGCCAUUUAGUUUAUACUGUUGAAUAAUAAAUGCAUGCUGCUGGUUGGGAUUAUAUUGUGCUUAUGCAGGUUGAAAUUUUUGGGAUUGUUCAAUUUACAUGGGAGACUCUAGCAAAAUUUUAGUAGAGAGUCUCGGUUUUUAAUAAGUGGGCCAGGCAUCGGGGUAAUGUCGGAAAUAAGACUGGAUUCGUCCCGGUUUCCGAAGAAUUCGAGGCGGGUCCUGUCAAGUUCCUCCUAUUAACAAUAAUAAAUUAAAUAUUUAUAUAACUGAUAACAGUUCCUCAUAUUAACAAUAAUAAAUUAGUAUUUUGUAUAAUAAACAUGUUUAAUGAAAUUCAUCUUCUUCUAGCAUGUUUAUUUAAAUUCUAAGUUUUCUGAAGAAAAAAAAAAAAAAAAAGGAGAAGGAAAUGUCCUAAAUUAAAUCUUAAAAGUUCAUUUUUUUCUGUCCCUAUAUAUUUUUUACCCAAUUAUAAUUUGAGAAAAAAAGGUGAAUUAACUGUCAUUUCACCUUCAUCAUUUUCAUGAUUUAUAUAAGAUUCUUCAAAGAUCAUUUCCACAAAAAAUUACUUAAAUUCGAAUCCAUUUAACCGUCUAAUUAAAUCGUUAGGACCGUUGAAAUAAAAUUUAAAGUGAGUUUAAAGUGAGUCCUACUAUGUCUCCCUCAAAUAAGAUCAUUUACAGGAUCUGUCGAGUCAUAUGAGAAUGUUUAGCUUUUCGAUCCCAAGAGUUUGGUUCGAUUUUCAUAUAUAUAUAUAUAUAUAUAUAUAUAUAUACAAGUCAAUUUACUUUAAAAAGUUCACCAAAUUUUAUUUUUGGUCUCGGUAGUUUGCUUGAGGGCCUUUUUCUGUCAAUCUAUUUGUUGUGAUUGAAAGAUUUUAUAUAAAACAAAAGAUAUGUUUUUAUCUUAAAAAAUGCUUAUUUUCAGAUCUUUACAUAUAGACAUACAUAUGGCCUGAGAAUUCAAGCAAUAAAGACAUAAGCUGAUGAGCAUUCAUAAUCAUUAGAAUGAGUACUGAAUGGUCAACUCUUUCAAAAUACUUCGGAAAAAAACAAAGGACAAUACUUCCUUCCUUACUCAUAAGAAGGAACUCCUUCUCACCUUCUAUUGUCCCUCAACCACAAAGUAACAAGUGUUCUCUUUUUUUAAUUGUCAAUUUUUUUUUUUUCACUUUUACUGAACCCCUAGCUUUUUACCAAAGCAAAAAACACAAAACAAUAUUCCCAUUGUUUUUUUUUUUCAUUUUGAUUUUUUUCUCAACUUUUUGAAAAAUAACAUUUUUCCUUCUUCAGUAAAAAAUUGAAGUCUUUGUGGUUAAAAGCUAAGGUUUCAGUAAAGGUUUAAAAUAAAUAAAAAGUUUUGACAAUUCAAAAAACAGAACACAUAUCACUUUGUGGUUGAGCCGCAAUAGAAAGUAAGAAAGAAUUCCACCUUACCCAUAAGGAGGGAAGUAUUGUCAAAAAGAAAACAUCUUAAAAAACACACAGAAAACCCACCAUCACUACUUAAAAGAAGUAGAGAAGUCCAACAUUCUGAUUUUUAUACACCUACGUGACGUGAGCAUUCAAUAAUCAUCCUACACAUAUGUUGAUGUGAGCAUUCAAAAUCAUUAGAAUGAUUUAAUUGAAGACUCAACGUACGGACGUCUUUUUCACUUAGAUUCCCUUCCUGUACAAACUUGAAUCAGUUCCUCCACGACCCCAUCAAUCUCUUCAUCCUCUUUCUUGUUCACGUUGUCGCUUAUUUUCAAUGCCUUUUUUCUCACUCCCUCUCCAAAUUUCUCCACAACCACAUCUCUAAUCACCUUUGCGACCUCUUCUCUUUGCAAACUUCCUUCACCUGUUCUCUUAACCUCCACACCAACACCCACCUCCUCCACUAGUCUAGCGUUGAUCGGCUGGUCAAGAUGCAUAGGCAUGGCUAUAAUUGGAACACCAAACUUGAUGCUCUCCAACACUGAGUUCCAUCCGCAGUGACUCACAAACCCCCCAACACUAGAAUGCUGCAGUAUCUUUGCCUGUGGGGCCCAACCCUCCAUUAUCACUCCCUUCUCUCCCACCCUCUGUAAAAACCCUUCUGGUAACACCUCUUCAACCCUAGUACUUCUCUCCUCCUUAGAAAAUCUUAUAACCCAAAUGAAGCUCACUUUGCUAAGCUCUAAUCCGUGAGCUAUCUCUUCUAUUUGCUCCUUGGACAGAAAGUACUCACUGCCAAAGCAAACAUACACAACAGAAGACCUUUCCAUUUUGUUCAGCCAUUUCAUGAUCCAUGUUUCCUCAUCAACUUUUUGAUCCAUUGGCUCUUGAACAAGCGUGCCAACAGGCACGAUCUUCUUCCCCGUUAAAUCAGAGAGAUAAUCAAUAUAUUUUUCUUCAAUCUCGCUGGAUGUCUUGACCAAAAUGAUGUUACAAGAUCGAGCACUGCAUUGCUGAACACGGUCUCCGUCUUUGAUGCCAUUUGCUGAAGAUUCCAACAAAUUGUUGAACUUUUCAGCUUCGUAAUGUUGAAGAUAAAUCGAAGGAAAAGGAAACUUGACACUAGGGUUCUUGAGAUGUUGAAUACUAAAUGAAGUAAAGGCAGCACCCAUGGUGGUGAAUUCAAUGGAUGGAAAAUUUUGCAAUGAAGCUAGAGAGGGCGCCCAUGGUUGAAGAACAUCAUAUAUGAGCAAAUCUGGACUUAGGGUUUUGAGGAUGUUGGAGAAGUUGUUGCUGGACAUGCUGAAAGCCGUUUUGAGAGUGGACAUGAGAUGGGGAGGGAGGCCAUUGGUGGUGUGGUAGUGCGGUGGGAGUUCAGGCAAGUCAUCAUGUGGAAGAUGGAGUUCCACAAAUUCAAUGCAAUGAGAAUAUUUUUGGGAGAGUUUAGGCUUGAUGGAGCUGAGAUUUACAGGCGUGGAACAAAUAAAGAUGUGAAAAUUUCUCUUGGUGGUCAGCUUCUUGGCUAGCUCUAGGUAGGGAGAUAUAUGGCCGUGAGCUAGCCAUGGAAGCAAAAGAAUAGUAAGGCUUCUUUGGUCAGAGAAAACCAUAUUUUGUUUUCCUUUGACUUGUUUUCCUUUGACUCUUUUGCUUGAGGUUGCUCGAUUAUAGGCUUAUUGGUAGUUUGUUUGUGGCUAGCUCUAUGCAUAUAUAUAUAUAUAUAUAUAUAUAUAUAUAUAUAUAUAUACACACACAAAAACGCGUGAUGAUUGGAACAUGCACACGUAAGUUCCAGAGAGUGAUGAUUGGCCUAUGAUAAAGACUCGAAACAAGAAUAGUUUAAAUUUUCUUCUUUGUUUGGCUUGAUAUAAGACGAAUGCACCAAACAAACCGACUAAAUGCCGACACAAUAAUUAGGUACGUAAUAAUAUCAACUUUCAUUAUAUAGAUCUGAGAAACAAAAAGUUGAACUUUGAUGACAAGCGAUAUUAAGGAAGGGCACAAUCGAACUUAGGAUCUCGAAUGUUGAAGUACAUGCUCUUAACAACUUGAGCUAUAAGGUAUUUGUAAUGACAAUUUAUGGUUUUAAUUAUACUUUUGAAUAGUUGCUUCCUUCUCUUUCAUUUUUAUUUUUAUUUGUUUAUAUUUAACUCUAAUUUUAUUUAUAUUUCUGGUCAAGGUAUAAAGACUUUGAAUCUCUCUCCAAUUAUUUUUCACAGCCGAAACUCCUUUAGUUUCCACAAAUCUUUUUAAACAUUUCAGGCAUAUGUAUGUUUCCGAGUCGGAUGGUUCACGUAACCAAGAAAUUUAAACUUGUUUUUGUUUGUUCCUCCGAAGAAAGCACAACAAAAGGACAACCUACAACCAAUACUUCUCAUUGAAUUUGUUGCCGUGAAUGAUUAGGACUCUGCCCAAACUAGUAGUUGCGUUUCUGAAUUGUUUGAAAACACAUAUCAAAUUAUGAUUUCUCCUCCCCGAAAGAAAAAUUGACGUAGAAGUAUCAUGAUCUUGAUGACACAAAUUAGAAUCUAGGGUUUUCGAAGUGCCUAAUGGACAACUACUUAUUUAGAAAUAUAUAUAUUUUUGUGGCUAAAAUUUAAAUUUAUUAUAUAUAUUCUCAAUGCAGAAACACAUAAAUCUAAGUUCGAAUUCAUCCUUUUUUUGUUUUUUUUUUUUUGUUUUUUUAACCCAGAAGAAAAAUUGAGUCCCACUCUGCUGUGUAGAAUGCGCGUUUAGUAUAGAUUUUUUUAUUUUUGAGUCUCUUAUCUGGUUCCCGAGCUUCUACAUUUAGGUCUCGUGUAUUUAUCUGCAUUUUCUUAAAUCUAAAUCACUCAAACAAUCUAACCACUUAACAAAUGACACGUACUCAAACUUAAAAUCAGAAUGGAUGGAGUAGAGGCUUACACCGAUGAUUCUUGGUCAAGACUUGAGAGACAGAUGGAGACGAGGCAUGACAUAAAGUCUGAAGAAGAGAAACGAGGAAGCUUCAUUUAGAUGGUGGUGUAAGUGCAUACGUAAAGUCCAGAUUCAACAGGAAAGCAUCUUAAACGUAAAGAAAAUAAGUUUACCAGAAGCAAAAGAGAUACUGAAGUAAUUGUUUAUCAACUGAACUUAAACGAAAUAUUAACUCUUUGUUGUGCCAUAAGCACAAGAUCUUAUGAAAAAAAAUUCAAGAUAAACCAUAUAAUAUUGGGAGAUUCACGUUUAUACCGAAUAUAGGAAUUCAAAUUAUAAAAUAAAUAAAUAAAUAAAAUAAUCGAUAUGAAAUGGACUUUAGAAACACACACAAAGCCUAUUUACAACAUAACAAAAAGGUUUUUCCCUUCUUUUAAAUUACAAAACUGCCAUUGAUUUCUUAAAACAAACCCAACUCCAAAACCUCAUUAAAAAAGCACAAAACACUCAAUAGGGUGUCAAAGUAAUUUAAUAAUAAAAAAUAAAUUCAAUAAGGCCAAUUGAAUUUUUUGGAUUUUUUUUUGGGUUUGUUUAUAGAAAUUAAUGGUGUAGGGUUUAUCUAUAUUAUUGGUGUUAAGAAUGAAUAAUGACUAAAUAUCUCUAUAAUAUUUUCUAACUCACAAAAUAAUAUAGAAAAUAAAUGCAAGAACAAGAAAAUAGCAAUAUGCAAUUUAACGAAGCUGCUUACAAUCAGUGCAAAUGAGCAAACAAAUUCGCUAUUAAUUUAUGAAGUGUUUUUGUAUUUACAAUACCGCCUCUUGAAUGUCCACCAUACAAUAAUAUAGUUGCAUCAUUAAAAACUUUACUUGAAAAAUCGUUUGGGACAAAACUUAAGCUAAGAGAAAAAGAGUGCAACACAAAUGAUAUUGACAUCACAUAUGUCUCUCCUACAGAGUGAGCUUUGGUGAUGCUUGUAUAAAAAUUGCUUUCACAUCAUUAUUGGGAGAUGUAUGUAUGUCAUCAAUCAUUUGAAUCUUGUUGAGGUUAAAGUAAAACCAAAAAAAUAUCAAGGGCCAUUUUCAUAUAGUUUUUCACAAUAAAAAUUAACAAAAUAACUUCAUGUUCUUUAAUAUCAUCAAAAAAAUAAUAUAAACAAACUCAUAGUUUACCUUUUCAAUGAUAAGUGUUUGGAAAAUUUACAUGGAAUAAUAUUUGGUAUGCUAUGCUAGCAUCUCAUAAGCUCUUCAAGAGACCUAAAUUUUAUGAUAACUUCUUAAAAAAAUUUGAAUACUUUUCAACAAUAUUAAACUUGAAUUCAAACUCAUAAUUCAAUCAAAGUACUCAUUGAGGCAAUUUAGAUCAUUUUCAUUUUAAGAAAAUUGGGUGCAUACAUUGAGCUUCAUGCCCUUUACCUUCUUAGAGAUUUUCUUCGAGCAAUUUAUAUUGCAUGACAGAUUAUAUCUCUUAGAAUUUGUUCUUAUGUAUUCUUCAAGAGAUCUCUUCUUGCAAUAUGCUUCAAACACUUCAUAAUCUUUAUAGAUUUUUCAUGUAGAUUUAAGGUCUCCAUGAAUAUUGAGAUUGAAACAAGGAGUAAAAUAAAAGUUUAAGAAAAAUUUUCCCUGAUUAUUUUGUAAUUAUAAUGUUGGUGAAAACCUAAUUUCCUUUCUGAAAUUUGUGAAAUUUGUUAUUUGGCUAAGCUAAAAGUAUAAUAUUGACAAUAAAACGUAUACGAAAGUUUCUCUUUGGCUGGCUUCUUGGCUGGCUCUAGGAAGGGACAUUGCGGCCAUGAGAUAACCAUAGGAAGCAUAAUAAGAAUGCUUGGAUGCUCUGAACAAUCCAUUUUCUGACUCUUUUUCUUGAGGCGGUUGUUUUCUUAGGCCCAUCAGAGUUUAUGGUCGACAGAUAAGCUUCAAACACAUGCAUUGGUCGUGUCAGUUGCGAUAAACUCUUCCCAACAAUCUGAGACUCACAUCACUCCAAACACAUAAAAAGAAGUGGAAAUUUGCUAUUCUUUGUCUUUGUUUGGACAGCUAAUAGCAAAGCAUUGGAAACAUCGAAAAAAGAAAGUUAAUUAAUUUAAGAAAAACAAAGAAAUCCUUCUUUUUUUUUCUUUUUUUUUUCAGCAAACCGAAACAUAAAAUCCGAAAAAGAAGAAGGCAUGUCCAAAAUUACAUCUUGAAUUUAUUUUGGAGAUUCACUAUUAUACUCAAAUUAUAUAUGAAAUAAAUUUUAGAAACACACAUGACGCCAAUUUACAAUAUAACAAAAAAACUUUUAACUUCUUGUAAAUUACAAAAUUGUUAUCGAUUUCUUAAAACAAGCCUAAUCCUAAAACCUCAUAAAAAAAAAAUCAAAACACUCAAUAAGGCAUCAAAGUAAUUUAAUAAUUAAAAUUAAAUUUAAUAGGGUCAUCUGUCAUUUUUUGGAUUUUUUUCGAAGUUGUUUAUAAAAAUUAAAAUAAUGUAUAGUUUGUUUAUAAAAAUUAAAUGAUGUAGAGUUUCUUUAUAUAAUUAAUGUUAAUAAUGAGUAUAUGAAUAAAUGUCACUUUUCUUUAUUAACCAUUUAUAAUAUAUGAACUCAAGACUUCCUAUCGAACACCGAAUGGUCUUUCCAUUCCUUGUUAAUUCAAAGUCUGAAAAUGUUCGGUGUCAGCUCAUGAAUUUAAAGGCUUAAAGGCUCAAAACUUGAACGAAUAUGAAAGAAAAAAGUCGUUCACCGUUCAUCCUCUUCCUGCAGCUGUGCAUGCUAAUCACCCACUGAAUUAAACAUACAAAUACGCUUUAUGUUUUCUCAAAUUGUUCUUUGAACUAAGUAGAGGUUGGAAUACACUCGGGGUCAACAUUGUUCAAAUACAAAACACUUCUUAAUUUUAUAUUUUAUCAAAACAGAUCGAAACUUCAUUCAAACUGAGAACCUAGAUUACAAAACUACCAGAAAAACUGGAAUCUGCACUGUGGCCUCAUUAAAACCUUGCUUUAAAAAACUCCUAAAAGAGGAGAAUUCAGUCAAGAAAAAAGAGUACCACAGCAAGUGAAAUCCGAUAUCAUACUUCAUUCCUUUCUCAUACAAAGUUGAAUCAACUGCUCUACCACCCCAUCUAUCUCUUCAUCCUCUCUCUUUUUCAUGUUGUCUCUCAAUUCCAUUGCCUUUCUUUUCAAACCCUGUCCAUUUUCUUCCACCACCACAUCUCUGAUUACUUUUGCUAUCUCGUCCCUUUUCAGCCUCCCGUUCUCGUUGCCGCCUCCUCCCAUUCUCUUAACCUCCACACCAACUCCAACGUCCUCUACUAUUCUAGCGUUAAUAGGCUGGUCAAGAUGCAUAGGCAUGGCUACAAUUGGAACGCCAAACUUGAUGCUCUCCAACACUGAGCUCCAUCCACAGUGGCUCACAAACCCACCAGCACUAGAAUGCUUCAAUACUUUUGCCUGUGGAGCCCAACCAUCCACUAUUAUUCCCUUCUCCCCCACCCUCUCAAAAAACCCUUCUGGUAAUACCUCUUCAACCCUAGUACCUUUCUCUUCCUUAGGAAAUCUUAUAACCCAAAUAAAACUCACUUUGCUAAUCUCUAGCCCAUGAGCUAUCUCUUCUAUUUCCUCCUUGGAUAAAAAGUACUCACUGCCGAAGGAAACAUACACCACCGAAGAUCUUUCUCUAGUGUUUAGCCACUUCAUGAUUUUUGUUUCCUCCGAAUCCACUUCUUGCUCUAUAAGGUCUUGAACAAGUGAACCAACAGGCACAAUCUUCUUCCCAAUUAGAUCAGAGAGAUAAUCAAUAUAUUUUGCUUCAAUCUCUCUAGAACUCUUAACUAAUACGAUCUUACAAGAACGAUCGCUGCACUGCUUAGCACGGUCUCCAUCACUGAUGCCAUUUGAUGAAGAUUCUAACAACAUCUUGAUCUUACUAGUCUCGUAAUAGAUUGAAGGAAACGGAAAUUUGACACCAGGUUUCUCGCCAUGGUGGGUACAAACUGACAUCAUGGCAGCACUGGUUGUGAAGAACUCGAUGGCUGGAAUGUUUUGUAACAAAGCUAGAGAGGGUGCCCAUGGUUGAAGAAAAUCAUAAAUUAGCAAAUCCGGGUGUAGGGUUUUGAGGAUGUUGGAGAAGUUAGGGCUUGCCCUGUCGAAGGCGGUUUUGAGAGUGGACAUGAGGUGGGGUGGGAGGCCAUUGGUAGUGUGGUAAUGAGGUGGGAGUUCAGGCAAGUCGUCAUAUGGAAGAUGUAGUUGCACGAGUUCAAUGCAACGAGAGUAUUUUUCAGAGAGUUGUGGCUUGAUGGAUCUGAGAUUUACAG